GAUGAACGCUGGCGGCGUGCCUAAUACAUGCAAGUCGAGCGAACGGACGCGAAGCUUGCUUCUCUGAUGUUAGCGGCGGACGUGUGUGUAACACGUGUAUAACCUACCUAUAUGACUGGGAUAACUUCGGGAAACCGUCGCUAAUACCGGAUAAUAUUUUGAACCGCAUGGUUCAAUAGUGAAAGACGGUCUUGCUGUCACUUAUAGCUGGAUCCGGGCUGCAUGAGCUAGUUGGUAAGGUAACGGCUUACCAAGGCAACGAUGCAUAGCCGACGUGAGAGGGUGAUAGGCCACACGGGAGCGGAGACACGGUCCAGACGCCUACGGGAGGCAGCAGUAGGGAAUCGGACGCAAUGGGCGAAAGCCUGACGGAGCAAGGCCGAGUGAGUGAUGAAGGUCUUCGGAUCGUAAAACUCUGUUAUUAGGGAAGAACAGAUGUGUAAGUAAAUGUGCACAUCUUGACGGUACCGAAUCAGAAAGCCACGGCUAACUACGUG
Molecule: ribosomal RNA, 497 nt
Filed under: uncultured bacterium
Lineage: Bacteria
Description: partial 16S ribosomal RNA
Rfam family: Bacterial small subunit ribosomal RNA
Source: RNAcentral